Molecule: small nuclear RNA, 107 nt
Organism: Heterocephalus glaber (naked mole-rat)
Lineage: Eukaryota; Metazoa; Chordata; Mammalia; Rodentia; Bathyergidae
Source: Ensembl
GUGCUUGCUUAGGCAGCACAUACACUAAAAUUGGGACGAUUCAGAGAAGAUUAGCAUGGCCCCUGUGCAAGGAUGACACUCAAAUUCGUGAAGCAUUCCAUAUUUUA